AGCCCCGUAGUUCAGUGGUCAAGAAUUCAAGGUUUUGGACCUUGAGACCCAGGUUCGAAUCCUGGCGGGGCUA
This 73-nucleotide transfer RNA is filed under the name Nanobdellota archaeon. RNAcentral's name for it is "tRNA-Gln". It matches the Rfam family "tRNA". Rfam says of the family: Transfer RNA (tRNA) molecules are approximately 80 nucleotides in length. Lineage: Archaea; Nanobdellati; Nanobdellota. The record is from RNAcentral. RNAcentral also lists the same sequence under 1 other name.